UACAGAGGGGGCAAGCGUUAUUCGGAAUUAUUGGGCGUAAAGGGCGCGUAGGCGGCUUGGCAAGUGGAUGGUGAAAUCCCUCGGCUUAACCGAGGAACUGCCGUCCAAACUGCUUCGCUUGAGACCGGGAGAGGUGAGUGGAAUUCCCAGUGUAGCGGUGAAAUGCGUAGAUAUUGGGAGGAACACCAGUGGCGAAGGCGGCUCACUGGACCGGUACUGACGCUGAGGCGCGAAAGCUAGGGGAGCAAACGGG
RNAcentral lists this ribosomal RNA (253 nucleotides) under uncultured bacterium. RNAcentral's name for it is "partial 16S ribosomal RNA". It matches the Rfam family "Bacterial small subunit ribosomal RNA", at positions 524 to 776 of the family's 1533-position model. The record is from RNAcentral.